UUUUGGGAAGGAAUUUUGGCAGAGCCUAAGAAAAUUGGACUGGAAAAACUCUCAUAAGAGGUUUUUCUGGGCCUACAGC
Non-coding RNA from Sturnus vulgaris (Common starling), 79 nucleotides. Lineage: Eukaryota; Metazoa; Chordata; Aves; Passeriformes; Sturnidae. The record is from RefSeq and is a predicted model, not a curated record.